AGAACGAACGCUGGCGGCAUGCCUAACACAUGCAAGUCGAACGAGACCUUCGGGUCUAGUGGCGCACGGGUGCGUAACGCGUGGGAAUCUGCCCUUGGGUUCGGAAUAACUCAGAGAAAUUUGAGCUAAUACCGUAUGAUGUCUUCGGACCAAAGAUUUAUCGCCUAGGGAUGAGCCCGCGUUGGAUUAGCUAGUUGGUGGGGUAAAGGCCUACCAAGGCGACGAUCCAUAGCUGGUCUGAGAGGAUGAUCAGCCACACUGGGACUGAGACACGGCCCAGACUCCUACGGGAGGCAGCAGUGGGGAAUAUUGGACAAUGGGCGAAAAGCCUGAUCCAGCAAUGCCGCGUGAGUGAAGAAGGGCCUUCGGGUUGUAAAGCUCUUUUACCCGGGAAGAUAAUGACUGUACCGGAGAAUAAGCCCGGCUAACUCCGUGCCAGCAGCCGC
Molecule: ribosomal RNA, 446 nt
Filed under: uncultured bacterium
Lineage: Bacteria
Description: SSU rRNA
Rfam family: Bacterial small subunit ribosomal RNA
Source: RNAcentral